Molecule: long non-coding RNA, 547 nt
Organism: Amblyraja radiata (thorny skate)
Lineage: Eukaryota; Metazoa; Chordata; Chondrichthyes; Rajiformes; Rajidae
Exons: 3
Source: RefSeq, a predicted model, not a curated record
CGCCGGUUAGUGAGGACUCGGUGGGCUGAAGUACCUGUUUCCUUGCUGUAUCUCUAAAGUCUAAAGCACUUUUAACAAUUUUAUAAGAAUCAAUGGGAUUGGUCUUUAUUCUAGAGGAUUCAUAUAAUUGGCCUUGAACAGUGGCACCAAAUCUCUUUAUGAAACUGCUAGAAUGUAGGCAUUGAAGAUAUUCCUACAGAGAUGUUAGGUAAAGCAUUUCAGGAUUUUAUCAUUGAACACUGUAAUAGUAUGUUUUCAAGUUGAAUAUAGCUGAUCCUCAUCUGAUGUCAGGAAUCCUGAGAAGAUGGGCCAGAUGAUCUUUGCACGCAAUCCUUCAUCUUGCAAUCAGACAUUCUCUUCAAGUGCUAACCAGUUAAUCUGAAUCUGCCACAGCAGGAGAGAUGCUCACAAGUUGAGGAAGAUGCAUAGAUAUUUUAAUGCAGCAGUGCUCAUUGUUUCUACCUUCAAGCUAAGAGCUCUAUCUGGUCUCUGCAGUAAUAAUGUUGAAAUGGUCAGGAUUUCAGAUUAAUCCUCCAGGCACCAUAAU